UUAAUGCUGUGGCAUACGAAUCUACAUCUAAGUGUUGACCGACUAAUUUUUUGUAUUUUCGGGAAACGAAGUCUUGUCCUAGUCUGCAAGCCGUUACACGCGGACGCAACUUCCAAGGAUAAGCGAGUUACCCACCUGCUUAACGUGUGCGGGUUCAAUACAAAGCGUAGAUCACCGGUGCCAAUACAGCAUCAUG
Molecule: non-coding RNA, 196 nt
Filed under: Streptococcus urinalis
Lineage: Bacteria; Bacillati; Bacillota; Bacilli; Lactobacillales; Streptococcaceae
Also listed under: 1 other name
Description: 6S RNA
Rfam family: 6S / SsrS RNA
About the family: E. coli 6S RNA was the first non coding RNA to be sequenced, but its function was unknown until recently. It consists of 184 nucleotides that fold into an extended hairpin structure with a large single-stranded internal bulge.
Source: RNAcentral